ACGGGUGAGUAACGCGUGGGAAUCUACCGUACCCUACGGAAUAGCUCUGGGAAACUGGAAGUAAUACCGUAUACGCCCUAACGGGGAAAGAUUUAUCGGGGUAUGAUGAGCCCGCGUUGGAUUAGCUAGUUGGUGGGGUAAAGGCCUACCAAGGCGACGAUCCAUAGCUGGUCUGAGAGGAUGAUCAGCCACAUUGGGACUGAGACACGGCCCAAACUCCUACGGGAGGCAGCAGUGGGGAAUAUUGGACAAUGGGCGAAAGCCUGAUCCAGCCAUGCCGCGUGAGUGAUGAAGGUCUUAGGAUUGUAAAGCUCUUUCAACGGUGAAGGUAAUGACGGUAACCGUAGAGGAAGCCCCGGCUAACUUCGUGCCAGCAGCCGCGGUAAUACGAAGGGGGCUAGCGUUGUUCGGAAUUACUGGGCGUAAAGCGCACGUAGGCGGGUAUUUAAGUCAGGGGUGAAAUCCCGCAGCUCAACUGCGGAACUGCCUUUGAUACUGGGUAUCUUGAGUAUGGAAGAGGUAAGUGGAAUUGCGAGUGUAGAGGUGAAAUUCGUAGA
Molecule: ribosomal RNA, 557 nt
Filed under: uncultured bacterium
Lineage: Bacteria
Description: bacterial SSU rRNA
Rfam family: Bacterial small subunit ribosomal RNA
Source: RNAcentral